GCUGGGUGUGGUGGCGCACACCUAUAAUCCCAGGAAUUUGGGAGCCUGAGGCAGGAGGAUCACAAGUUCAAGGCCAAUCUAGACAACUCAGUGAGACCCAGACUCAA
RNAcentral lists this small RNA (107 nucleotides) under Marmota monax (woodchuck). The record is from RNAcentral. Lineage: Eukaryota; Metazoa; Chordata; Mammalia; Rodentia; Sciuridae.